GAUGAAGAACGUAGCGAAAUGCGAUACUUGGUGUGAAUUGCAGAAUCCCGUGAACCAUCGAGUCUUUGAACGCAAGUUGCGCCCGAAGCCAUUAGGCCGAGGGCACGCCUGCCUGGGUGUCACACACCGUUACCCUCGCGCCAACGUCCAUCGUUGGCCGCGGCGCGGGGCGUGCGCUGACCUCCCGCGAGCGGGGUCUCGUGGUUGGUUGAAAAUCGAGUUCGCGGUCGAGGGUGCCGUGAUGAAAUGGUGGAUGGGCGACGCCCGAGGCCAAUCACGCGCGACUCUGUCCGGCUNNNNNNCCUGGACCCCUUCGGCGUCUCCGGACGCUCUUUGGCGAGACCUCAGGUCAGGCGGGGCUACCCGCUGAGUUUAAGCAUAUCAAUAAGCGGAGGA
Molecule: unclassified non-coding RNA, 396 nt
Filed under: soil metagenome
Description: partial contains 5.8S ribosomal RNA, internal transcribed spacer 2, and large subunit ribosomal RNA
Rfam family: 5.8S ribosomal RNA (bases 1-122)
Source: RNAcentral